ACCGAAUACAAAACAUACAAGCCAAUAAAAACAAAGGUUUACAUUCAGACACUCCCAUACAGUGUACAAAAUCCCUCCCCUCUGCCUGUGAUACAAUUAACGAAGACAAUGGCCUAACUCAAUUAACUCUAAGCAGAAAAAACAUAGAUUUUUACAAAGUCUGGAAAACACCCCAUAUCCCCAUAAAAGUCACAUCCCCUGAUAGCCCUGAUCUGGGUGAACAGGAAUUUUCUGGAAGUCAUAGUUUCGACCGACCGCAAGCAUGGCCCCAUGCCUAAAACAGUUCCAUAGAAUCAGGGCUAACG
Non-coding RNA from Pelobates cultripes (western spadefoot toad), 305 nucleotides. The record is from the annotation of a GenBank genome assembly. Lineage: Eukaryota; Metazoa; Chordata; Amphibia; Anura; Pelobatidae.